RNAcentral lists this ribosomal RNA (414 nucleotides) under uncultured bacterium. RNAcentral's name for it is "bacterial SSU rRNA". It matches the Rfam family "Bacterial small subunit ribosomal RNA", at positions 355 to 786 of the family's 1533-position model. The record is from RNAcentral.
UGGGGAAUAUUGCACAAUGGGGGAAGCCCUGAUGCAGCGAUGCCGCGUGGAGGAAGAAGGUUUAGGAUUGUAAACCUCUGUCUUCAGGGACGAAAUAAAUGACGGUACCUGAGGAGGAAGCUCCGGCUAACUACGUGCCAGCAGCCGCGGUAAUACGGAGGAUCCGAGCGUUAUCCGGAUUUAUUGGGUUUAAAGGGUGCGUAGGCGGCGGUGCAAGUCAGCGGUAAAAGCCCGGGGCUCAACCCCGGCGAGCCGUUGAAACUGCAGUGCUAGAGAGGCGAGAGGUACGCGGAAUGCGCAGUGUAGCGGUGAAAUGCUUAGAUAUUGCGCAGAACUCCGAUUGCGAAGGCAGCCUACCGGCUCCAGACUGACGCUGAGGCACGAAAGCGUGGGUAUCGAACAGGAUUAGAUACC